This 253-nucleotide ribosomal RNA is filed under the name uncultured bacterium. RNAcentral describes it as "partial 16S ribosomal RNA". It matches the Rfam family "Bacterial small subunit ribosomal RNA", at positions 524 to 776 of the family's 1533-position model. The record is from RNAcentral.
UACGUAGGGUGCAGGCGUUAAUCGGAAUUACUGGGCGUAAAGCGUGCGCAGGCGGUUUGCUAAGACAGGUGUGAAAUCCCCGGGCUUAACCUGGGAACUGCGCUUGUAACUGGCAAGCUAGAGUGUGGCAGAGGGGGGUGGAAUUCCACGUGUAGCAGUGAAAUGCGUAGAGAUCCGGAAGAACACCGGUGGCGAAGGCGGCCCGCUGGGCAGUGACUGACGCUGAGGCGCGACAGCGUGGGGAGCAAACAGG